GUACACUCCUACGGGAGGCAGCAGUGGGGAAUUUUGGACAAUGGGCGAAAGCCUGAUCCAGCCAUGCCGCGUGCAGGAUGAAGGCCUUCGGGUUGUAAACUGCUUUUGUACGGAACGAAACGGCCUUUUCUAAUAAAGAGGGCUAAUGACGGUACCGUAAGAAUAAGCACCGGCUAAAUACGUGCCAGCAGCCGCGGUAAUACGUAGGGUGCAAGCGUUAAUCGGAAUUACUGGGCGUAAAGCGUGCGCAGGCGGUUAUGUAAGACAGUUGUGUAAUCCCCGGGCUCAACCUGGGAACUGCAUCUGUGACUGCAUAGCUAGAGUACGGUAGAGGGGGAUGGAAUUCCGCGUGUAGCAGUGAAAUGCGUAGAUAUGCGGAGGAACACCGAUGGCGAAGGCAAUCCCCUGGACCUGUACUGAUGCUCAUGCACGAAAGCGUGGGGAGCAAACAGGAUUAGAUACCCGGGUAGUCCCAUGA
RNAcentral lists this ribosomal RNA (478 nucleotides) under uncultured organism. Its description in RNAcentral is "partial 16S ribosomal RNA". It matches the Rfam family "Bacterial small subunit ribosomal RNA", at positions 331 to 800 of the family's 1533-position model. The record is from RNAcentral.